AUUGAACGCUGGCGGCAGGCCUAACACAUGCAAGUCGAACGGUAACAGGAAGACGCUUGCUUCUUUGCUGACGAGUGGCGGACGGGUGAGUAAUGUCUGGGCAUCUGCCUGCUGGAUGGGGGUAGCUACUGGAAACGGUAGCUAAUACCGCAUACCGUCGAAAGUCCAUAGAGGGGGACCUUCGAGCCUCUUGCCAUCGGCUGUGCCCAGCUGGGAUUAGCUAGUAGGUGGGGUCACGGCUGACCUAGGCGACGACCCCUAGCUGGUCUGAGAGGAUGACCAGCCACACUGGAACUGAGACACGGUCCAGACUCCUACGGGAGGCAGCAGUGGGGAAUAUUGGACAAUGGGCGAAAGCCUGAUGCAGCCAUGCCGCGUGUAUGAAGAAGGCCUUCGGGUUGUAAAGUACUUUCAGCGGGGAGGAAGGGAGUAAAGUUAAUACCUUUGCUCAUUGACGGUACCCUCAGAAGAAGCACCGGCUAACUCCGUG
Molecule: ribosomal RNA, 490 nt
Filed under: uncultured bacterium
Lineage: Bacteria
Description: partial 16S ribosomal RNA
Rfam family: Bacterial small subunit ribosomal RNA
Source: RNAcentral